ACUCAAAGGAAUUGACGGGGGCCCGCACAAGCGGUGGAACAUGUGGUUUAAUUCGAUGCUACGCGAAACACCUCACCAAGGUUUGACAUGCAAGAAGUAGCGAACUGAAAGGGGAGCGACUCGUUAAAUCGAGAGCUUGCACAGGUGCUGCAUGGCUGUCGUCAGCUCGUGUCGUGAGAUGUUGGGUUAAGUCCCGCAACGAGCGCAACCAUUGUCCUAUGUUGCUACUUCAUUCCGGCUUGCCGGCGUGAAGGCACUCUUAGGAGACUGCCUGGGAUAACCAGGAGGAAGGUGGAGAUGACGUCAAGUCAGUACGGCCCUUAUGCCUUGGGCCACACACGUGUUACAAUGGAUAGUACAGAGGGUUGCCAACCCGCGAGGGGGAGCUAAUCUCAAAAACCUAUCCCCAGUUCAGAUUGAAGUCUGCAAUUCGACUUCAUGAAGCCGGAAUCGCUAGUAAUGGCGGAUCAGCAUGCCGCCGUGAAUACGUUCCCGGGCCUUGUACACACCGCCCGU
This 516-nucleotide ribosomal RNA is filed under the name uncultured bacterium. RNAcentral describes it as "partial 16S ribosomal RNA". It matches the Rfam family "Bacterial small subunit ribosomal RNA", at positions 899 to 1397 of the family's 1533-position model. The record is from RNAcentral.